UACGUAGGGGGCUAGCGUUGUCCGGAUUUAUUGGGCGUAAAGAGCGUGUAGGCGGCCAGGUAGGUCUGGUGUGAAAACUCGAGGCUUAACCUCGAGAUGUCAUCGGAAACCAUCUGGCUAGAGUCCGGAAGAGGAGAGUGGAAUUCCUGGUGUAGCGGUGAAAUGCGCAGAUAUCAGGAAGAACACCAAUGGCGAAGGCGAGUCCCUGGACAACACCUGACACUGAGGCACGAAAGCUAGGGGAGCAAACAGG
This 253-nucleotide ribosomal RNA is filed under the name uncultured bacterium. Its description in RNAcentral is "partial 16S ribosomal RNA". It matches the Rfam family "Bacterial small subunit ribosomal RNA", at positions 524 to 776 of the family's 1533-position model. The record is from RNAcentral.